Molecule: small nuclear RNA, 134 nt
Organism: Toxorhynchites rutilus septentrionalis
Lineage: Eukaryota; Metazoa; Arthropoda; Insecta; Diptera; Culicidae
Product: U4 spliceosomal RNA
Exons: 1
Source: RefSeq, a predicted model, not a curated record
AGCUUUGUGCAGUGGCGAUAUCGUAGCCAAUGAGGUUAUACCGAAGUGCGAUUAUUGCUAAUUGAAAAAAAAACUUAUUUUUUAUGUUUUUUUAUACCUGGCUAAAAUGGCUAAAAUGAUUGUUAACAUGCAAA